RNAcentral lists this long non-coding RNA (239 nucleotides) under Carica papaya (papaya). RNAcentral's name for it is "long non-coding RNA (CPAP_LNC006251)". The record is from RNAcentral. Lineage: Eukaryota; Viridiplantae; Streptophyta; Magnoliopsida; Brassicales; Caricaceae.
CCCAGUAGAUUGUAUACCAUGGACCAAUAUUAUAGGCAGCAGGGCACCACAGCAAGAUACGGUUACAAGACUCCUCUUUUUGCACAAAAAACAUCUAUUAAUCAGAAUGUUCCCCCUCCUUCUAAGCAUGUCAAUAGUAAGAAUACACUCUCUGACAGCUUCCCACACAAAAAAAGCCACUCUAGGUGGAGCAUUCAAUCUCCAGAUUUAUUUAUGCGGAAAACAGCCAGCCUCCCCCC